CCCACCAAUUCACUAUCUCAACUAAUUAGAAUAUGGUGACAUGCCAAUCAGCUAAUCAACUCAAAACACCUGCAAAGGUUUCCUGAGCCUUCAAAAUGGUCUCUCAGUUUGGUUCACUAGGCUACACAAUCAUGGGGAAGACUGCUGAUCUGACAGUUGUCCAGAAGACAAUCAUUGACACCCUUCACAAGGAGGACAGUGACCUCCAUCUUGCUGUUGGUCUGGUAGGCCUUAAGUUUGGGAUGUGGCUGAUACAGUGGUUGUCCCCCAUAGCCUGUGGGCUGGGAGAGGAACUCCGGUAGUGUUUCUGUGCUGUACUGUCUCCUGCUGCUGUUGGACUGGCGGCGAGUGGAGUGCCCUGGAUGCGAGGUCUGCCGGUGGACAUGUCUUUGUCCAGAAUCCCAAGCUUUGAAGGUUGAGCUGGAAAGCUGAGGGUGGGUGAUGGUUUUUGGGAUGCGGGUCCUCUCCAGCUGGUUGGUUGGGAUUGAGAUCGAAAGGGGGGAAUGGAUGUCAUGGGAAGGGAGGACCUGGUGGAGAUGGGACUUGUCUUUCGGGUGCAUCUGCAUCGGUUGGAAAGUUGCAGGAGGGGAAUGAUGCUGAGAGAAAUCCAUUAGUGGAUAACUUUUGUAGUAGCCCCUGCUUGCAGUAUCAGCUGUAAGGGAGAAGAAGAAAUGGAAAAUGUUCAAGAGGGACAAACAUUUACAUUGUACAAUUAUAACUGAGCUGCAGCAGGCACAUUUAUAGUGAAGCUUCAGUCUUUAUGUGGCUACUAAGCAUGUAAAAGUAUAUGAGAUGAGAGGAAAGUUUAUAUUCCAGUGUGUUUUGUGAGAGAAAAUUUGCAUUCAUAUAAUACUUUUGGCAUUCUUAUUCUGCAAAGUAUCUCAACAGAACACAAAAUUUAAACAAGUGAACACAAAGUUUGUUAGGGAAUGCGAAAGUUUUGCAAACGAAUGCAGUUUCUUGGGAGAACGCAAACGUUUUGCGUGUGAUGCAAAGUUUCUCUGGGGAACAUGAAAGUUUUGUGAGUGAAUGCAGAGUUUGUUAGGGGAAUGCAAAAAUUCUGAGAAUGAAUGCAGUGUUUCUUGGGGGAAUGUGAAAUUUUUGCAUGUGUUCUGUUCAAAAGUUCUGCAAGCAAACGCAGUUUCUUAGGGGAACACAAACAUUUUGUGAGCACAUAAUUUUUCCAUCACCAUGUAUUAUGGGCUUCA
Long non-coding RNA from Cyprinus carpio carpio, 1208 nucleotides. The record is from Ensembl. NCBI's taxonomy places the organism in Eukaryota, Metazoa, Chordata, Actinopteri, Cypriniformes, Cyprinidae.